UACGGAGGUCCCAAGCGUUGUUCGGAUUCAUUGGGCGUAAAGGGCGCGUAGGCGGCGCCGUAAGUCGGGUGUGAAAUUUCGGAGCUUAACUCCGAAACUGCAUUCGAUACUGCGGUGCUUGAGGACUGGAGAGGAGACUGGAAUUCAUGGUGUAGCAGUGAAAUGCGUAGAUAUCGUAAGGAAGACCAGUGGCGAAGGCGGGUCUCUGGACAGUUCCUGACGCUGAGGCACGAAGGCCAGGGGAGCAAACGGG
This 253-nucleotide ribosomal RNA is filed under the name uncultured bacterium. Its description in RNAcentral is "partial 16S ribosomal RNA". It matches the Rfam family "Bacterial small subunit ribosomal RNA", at positions 524 to 776 of the family's 1533-position model. The record is from RNAcentral.